CAAAUGGCUCUUACACGGCGUUCUGUAUUAGCUGUUUCGUUUCUUAACCCAUGUUUCAUUUCACCAAAUGGCUAUACUUUAGCAUUUCGUUCGUAAAGGCCGGACUGGUCUCAGUUGAAAACGAGAAUAUGGUGGCCACACUAACUGACCCUUCACUGAAGUACAAGACUUAAUAAAGAAGAACACACAAAAUCGCCUACACCAAUACCCAGCGGAUGCACUGUUGUCAUGGAAACAGAAGAAGAGCACAAAUCAGAGAUUCAGGAUUUAGACGAGUUUAAUGACAUCAACAUCGACCAGAGAGCCCUGGAGUCGUUUGUUCCGGGGCGCUAUUUGAAAGCCACGUGUACAGAAAAGGAGAACAAAAUUCGGUCCAAUGUAGCCGAGCUGCUGGAC
Molecule: long non-coding RNA, 396 nt
Organism: Octopus sinensis (East Asian common octopus)
Lineage: Eukaryota; Metazoa; Mollusca; Cephalopoda; Octopoda; Octopodidae
Exons: 3
Source: RefSeq, a predicted model, not a curated record